Non-coding RNA from Procambarus clarkii (red swamp crayfish), 444 nucleotides. NCBI's taxonomy places the organism in Eukaryota, Metazoa, Arthropoda, Malacostraca, Decapoda, Cambaridae. The record is from RefSeq and is a predicted model, not a curated record.
AUUCGUGCAGUGGUGAGAGGUGGAUGUGUGUCGUGUCACGUCGCGAUUUUAUGUGUGAAGUGUGAUGAAACUCGCCUGUGUGCAAAUUAAUGUAACAUUUCCCAACAUAUUAUAACAUUCUGGAUGGCCUUAUGAAACUGAUCUGGACUUGUAUCCCGCCUCGCUAACAUCGCUCCUGAACUUCGUAUAUCAGAUGUGUGCCGAGCAGAGGUUGGCGUGGAGGCUGGUGAGUUGAGGCAGCUGGCUAGCAUGAAGGGAGGCCACUACGUCCAUGCCCAGCUGGCCUAGACCCGCUCACCCCUCGUGCAGGAGAUGGCCACCAGCAGGACCCCGGGCCGCAGGUCACGCGGCCACGCGGGGUCAGAGGCCACCAGCCCCCAAGACCCGUACUCCGAGAUUGAACUGUAUCUGCGUAAGGCCGAGGUUAGUACGCUUUUAAAGUUU